RNAcentral lists this ribosomal RNA (402 nucleotides) under uncultured bacterium. RNAcentral's name for it is "partial 16S ribosomal RNA". It matches the Rfam family "Bacterial small subunit ribosomal RNA", at positions 360 to 776 of the family's 1533-position model. The record is from RNAcentral.
AAUAUUGCACAAUGGGCGCAAGCCUGAUGCAGCGACGCCGCGUGAGCGAAGAAGGUUUUCGGAUCGUAAAGCUCUGUCCUCUGGGAAGAAAAAAAUGACGGUCCCAGAGGAGGAAGCCCCGGCUAACUACGUGCCUGCAGCCGCGGUAAUACGUAGGUGGCGCGCGUUAUCCGGAAUUACUGGGUGUAAAGGGUGCAUAGGCGGAAAGAUAAGUCAAGUGUGUAAUCUAUCGGCUCAACUGAUAGGCUGCGCUUGAAACUAUUUUUCUUGAGUGAAGUAGAGGUAGGCGGAAUUCCUGGUGUAGCGGUAAAAUGCGUAGAUAUCAGGAGGAACACCAGUGGCGAAGGCGGCCUACUGGGCUUUAACUGACGCUGAGGCACGAAAGCAUGGGGAGCAAACAGG